GUAAGAAUCACCUGGGGAUCCUUGUUAAACUGAAGAUUCUGAUUCAGAGGUGUGGAGCGGGACCCACGGUUCUACUUAAUCUAACAAGCUCCCCAGCGAUGCUGAU
Molecule: microRNA precursor, 106 nt
Filed under: Marmota monax (woodchuck)
Lineage: Eukaryota; Metazoa; Chordata; Mammalia; Rodentia; Sciuridae
Source: RNAcentral